RNAcentral lists this ribosomal RNA (253 nucleotides) under uncultured bacterium. RNAcentral's name for it is "partial 16S ribosomal RNA". It matches the Rfam family "Bacterial small subunit ribosomal RNA", at positions 524 to 776 of the family's 1533-position model. The record is from RNAcentral.
UACGGGGGGGGUAAGCGUUGUUCGGAAUUACUGGGCGUAAAGGGCUCGUAGGCGGCCAACUAAGUCGGACGUGAAAUCCCUCAGCUUAACUGGGGAACUGCGUCCGAUACUGGAUGGCUUGGAUUUGGGAGAGGGAUGCGGAAUUCCAGGUGUAGCGGUGAAAUGCGUAGAUAUCUGGAGGAACACCGGUGGCGAAGGCGGGUCUCUGGGCCGAUACUGACGCUGAGGAGCGAAAGCGUGGGGAUCAAACAGG